Molecule: ribosomal RNA, 301 nt
Filed under: uncultured bacterium
Lineage: Bacteria
Description: partial 16S ribosomal RNA
Rfam family: Bacterial small subunit ribosomal RNA
Source: RNAcentral
CAGCAGCCGCGGUAAUACGGAGGGGGCUAGCGUUGUUCGGAAUUACUGGGCGUAAAGCGCACGUAGGCGGCUUGGUAAGUUAGAGGUGAAAGCCCAGGGCUCAACCGGGGAGGGUCAUUGGAAACUGGGAAACUUGAGUGCAGAAGAGGAGAGUGGAAUUCCACGUGUAGCGGUGAAAUGCGUAGAGAUGUGGAGGAACACCAGUGGCGAAGGCGACUCUCUGGUCUGUAACUGACGCUGAGGCGCGAAAGCGUGGGGAGCAAACAGGAUUAGAGACCCCCGUAGUCCCUGUCUCUUAUAC